Molecule: ribosomal RNA, 274 nt
Filed under: uncultured eukaryote
Lineage: Eukaryota
Description: partial small subunit ribosomal RNA
Rfam family: Eukaryotic small subunit ribosomal RNA
Source: RNAcentral
AGGGCACACCAGGGGUGGAGCUUGUGGCUUAAUUUGAAUCAACACGGGAAAACUUACCAGGACCAGAUAUUUUUAAUGACUGAUCAGGCUAUAGGUCUUUCAGGAUAUGAUUUUUGGUGGUGCAUGGCCGUUGGUGGUGCGUGGGUUGACCUGUCUAGCGUUGAUUCAGAUAACGAGCGAGAUUAUCACCAAUUAAAUAUAUAAAUAUUUUUAUUAAAAUAAUUUAUUUUCUAAUUGGGACUCCCUGCGUCUAAGCAGGAGGAAGAUGGUAGCA